GGGGCAGGUGCCGAAGGGCUUCUUGGAGGGGGUACUGACGGUGAUCUACAAAAAAGGCGACCCCAAACUCCCUGGCAACUACCGUCCUAUCACCCUGCUUUGCUCGGACUACCGACUGCUCACCAAAGUGCUGGCAAACCGCCUAGGCCCUGCCCUUGGCCAAGUCAUAACCCCCGAGCAAUCAGCCUUCCUACCCAGGCGCCUCAUUGGAGCCAGUGUGCUAUUCCUGCGUCACCUGUCACACCUCCUUCGCAAGCAGAACCGCCGGGGGCUCCUGGCAUUCCUGGACUUCGCCAAGGCCUAUGACACGGUGGAUCGUGGGUUCCUCCUGGCAGCAAUGGAGACCAUGGGUGCAGGGCCACAGCUCUGCGCCUGGGUACGGCUGCUGCUGAGCGAAACGCGAGCCCGAGCGAUGGUGAAUGGCUACAAAUCGAAGCUGGUGAACAUGGAAGCAGGGGUACGGCAAGGGUGCCCCCUCGCACCCUUGCUCUACCUCUUCGUUGCUCAGGCCCUACAAUGCUGGCUCCGGAGCCAAGACGUGGGGAUCAAAUUACAGCCGGCCGACUCACAACCAGUCACCGCGUGUCAAUAUGCGGAUGACACGGAAGUGGCGCUGCAGGGUGAAGACUCAGUACCAUCGUUCCUCCAGGCCAUGGACACCUUUGCCCGGGCAUCUGGCCAACGCCUAAAUCUCGACAAAGUGGAGCUGCUGUGGAUUGGCCAAUUAAACCAACAGCAGGCGCAACCUGCAACCCAGGCCGGACCCCAAUCAGCUGCCCCUCAGCAGGAGUCAAUAGGAGGUCUCAAGGUGGUGACCACCGCCACCGCCCUGAACCUGCCGAUUGACAACCAGCCAUCCCCGCCACAGCCCGACUGGAUGAAAAGACUCGGGGAAGCCAAGCGGCGACUGCAGCGGCUCUCGCGCUUCCCGCUAUCAGCAUUCGGUCGAGCCACAGCGGCAUCGGUGUACGGAAUGCAGACAGUCACCUGGCACAUGGAGCAUGGUGGGCCGCCCCCCAACCGUACGCUGGACGAAAUAGAACGCCUAACGGCCCGCCUCGUCGACCGGCAGCAGGGCCCAGAAGACCCCGGCCGCCGCUUGACAGGGGUGCCUAAGGAUCUCUUGACCGGCCACCCGUCGGCUGGAGGCUUUGGCCUGCUGCCCCUCCAGCAACACAUCCAGGCUCGGCAUGCGGUAUGGGCUGUGCGCUUCAUCAUAGCGGCCCUCGGGCUAUCUAACGCGUCAUGUGGGCCAGGGACAGGUGGAGCUGCAGGAACCACGGGUGGUACCGGGGGGCACGGGAGGGCAGAUGGCGGCCUCCAUCCCUGGGUCCGGACGCUCUCCGCCUAUAUGCUGCUCACCCACCCCGCCUUCCAACCGUGGGCCCUGACGACCGCCAGCCAAGCCGGGCCCCGACUCGGCGGAAGCGACCUACCCACGGAUAUCAGCCGGAUUGUGGGCGCCCUGGGACACCUACCACCGCUCCGGGAUAUCGAGACCAGCCCCCUGUCCCCCGGACCGUGGUGCUGGGCAACCGCGUUGUGGGGUAACCCGUUGCUCCCCAAUACCGGCGAGGCAGACCCAGACAGUUUGAACCGCCGCCCGGGCCUGGAGACGCACUUCGUGGGGAUCGCUACAUGCAGGAAACUGCAAACGGUGGGCGACCUAGUGCGGGUCUGGGACCUAGUGGUGCAUACUCGAGUGGCCUCCCUCCCCAGGUCGACCUGGCCCGAAUGGGUCAGGACACACCUCGACCCAUCAACCCCAGCACCCACGCGGGACAGGUCAGCGACCCUGGCAGCCCUUAAGACGCUACAUGGCGCUAUCAACCCGGCCUGGCUCGAAGCUGCAAGAGCAGUGGAAACCCAACAGCAACAGCAACCCCAGCCGCAGGCACAGCUGCAGCCACAGCCGCAGUCACAGCCACAGCCGCAGCCACAGCCGCAGCCACAGCCGCAGCCACAGCCGCAGCCACAGCCGCAGCCACAGCCGCAGCCACAGCUACAGACGCAGCCGCAUGAGCAGCAACCCCAACAGCAGCAGCCAGAGAUGCCAAAGGCGGGGGAUAUGGCGGCUCCAAGCACCCCCAACAGCACUCAGGCGAUGGCUAUGAUCCUAAAGCGGGUCGGAUGGCAGAUACCGGGCGGCACAACAACCGUCCCACUCACACGCCUGACGGUCCGCCUAGCGACACAGCUGCAAUGCGGGGCCACCGAGGAGAAACGGGGACGCUUGAUGGCAGCAUUUGUGCAAGAAGCGUUGGACCCGCAGGAAACAGCACCUUCCUCCUCAGCGGAAACAAGCCGCUUCAGGGCGACGCAAGCCCGCUUGUGGUCGGGGGUGCGGUGGGAGAACGAGAACAAAGAAACGCUGUGGCGGCUCGCUGUGGACAGCAUCCCCCUGCCCGGCAACACGCACCUGGCCCGCAUGGUGCCUGAGCGCUGUGGGUGUGGAGGGUUCGGCAACGCCAGCAACCAGCACUGCUCCCCACGCAUGCACCACUUCUGGGAGUGCCCCGUCGCACAAGCUGUCCGGGAGCAGAUUGACCGACACAUACAGCCCUCCCAGGAGGCAGCGACAGGCGGCAUCACCCGGAAGCAGCUGUGGUUGGUCCAAGCCCCGACCGGCUGCGAGCAGGCCCCCUGGGACGUGAUCGCCCUGGCGGCCCUGUCUGCUAUGGAGGUAGGCAGGUGCUGCCUGCGAGCAGCCGGACGGCGACUGGAAAGGGCGGCUAACCCCGCGACAGAACAGCCAGAGCAAGCGCAACAGAUCCAGGCGCAAGGGCCCCAACAGCGGCGGAUAACGGACUUCUUUCACCUGGCCAACGGAGUGAGACCGCACGAGGGGCCGCCGCUGAACGCGCCGGUACUCGANNNNNNNNNNNNNNNNNNNNNNNNNNNNNNNNNNNNNNNNNNNNNNNNNNNNNNNNNNNNNNNNNNNAACAGCAACAGCAACCCCAGCCGCAGGCACAGCUGCAGCCACAGCCGCAGUCACAGCCACAGCCGCAGCCACAGCCGCAGCCACAGCCGCAGCCACAGCCGCAGCCACAGCCGCAGCCACAGCCGCAGCCACAGCCGCAGCCACAGCUACAGACGCAGCCGCAGCCUCAGCCUCAGCCACAGCCGCAGCCACAGCCGCAGGUACAGCCACAACAGCUGCAAACACAACCACAGCUACAGACACAGCAUCAGCCGCAGCCGCAACAGCAGCAACAGCCGCAGCAACAGCUACAGACGCAGCCGCAUGAGCAGCAACCCCAACAGCAGCAGCCAGAGAUGCCAACGGCGGGGGACAUGGCGGCUCCAAGCACCCCCAACAGCACUCAGGCGAUGGCUAUGAUCCUAAAGCGGGUCGGAUGGCAGAUACCGGGCGGCACAACAACCGUCCCACUCACACGCCUGACGGUCCGCCUAGCGACACAGCUGCAAGGCGGGGCCACCGAGGAGAAACGGGGACGCUUGAUGGCAGCAUUUGUGCAAGAAGCGUUGGACCCGCAGGAAACGGCACCUUCCUCCUCAGCGGAAACAAGCCGCUUCAGGGCGACGCAAGCCCGCUUGUGGUCGGGGGUGCGGUGGGAGAACGAGAACAAAGAAACGCUGUGGCGGCUCGCCGUGGACGGCAUCCCCCUGCCCGGCAACACGCACCUGGCCCGCAUGGUGCCUGAGCGCUGUGGGUGUGGAGGGUUCGGCAACGCCAGCAACCAGCACUGCUCCCCACGCAUGCACCACUUCUGGAAGUGCCCCGUCGCACAAGCUGUCCGGGAGCAAAUUGACCGACACAUACAGCCCUCCCAGGAGGCCGCGACAGGCGGCAUCACCCGGAAGCAGCUGUGGUUGGUCCAAGCCCCGACCGGCUGCGAGCAGACCCCCUGGGAUGUGAUCGCCCUGGCGGCCCUGUCUGCUAUGGAGGUAGGCAGGUGCUGCCUGCGAGCAGCCGGAAGACGACUGGAAAGGGCGGCUAACCCCGCGACAGAACAGCCAGAGCAAGUGCAACAGAUCCAGGCGCAAGGGCCCCAACAGCGGCGGAUAACGGACUUCUUUCACCUGGCCAACGGAGUGAGACCGCACGAGGGGCCGCCGCUGAACGCGCCGGUACUCGAGGAUCAAACGCAGGGGCCCAUCGCGGGACCGGGGACGGCAACAGCAGCAGCAACAGCAGCAGCAGCAGCAACAGCAGCAGCAACCCCCCUGGAAUACGCCCGCGCUCGGGCAGUAGUGGACUUCUGGGCGCGCUUGCGCUCUUUCACCGCGCUCAAUGUCCCAAGGCGGGGCUGGGACGGAGUGGGACCCCACCACCCGAUCCUGUCAAUCGUCGGGGGAGCACUGUGCUGCGCGGAGGCGGUGGACAUCACGACCUAAUGGUCAAGCGGACGCGGCGGGAGCUGUAGUUUAGGGGAUAAGGGGAUAGGGUGUCGAGGCGCGGAGGGGGGAUUUGAGGUGGUGGGGGUGGUAGGGAGGUCGAGAGGGAGGUUGAGGGGAAAGGUUGCGAGGGGGGCGGGAUCAGGGAUGGGGCUUGGGGGGGGUGCCGCGCAAGGGGACAUGGGGGAGGGAGGGUGUAUUUGCCUGGGGGAGCCGUACCGGCGGAGGGGGGGGAGACCGGGGAAAGGGCGGGGAGAGCCGGGGGGGGAGGGGAAGAGGCAGAGAGAGCACCAAGAGGAUGUAGGGUUGAGGGGUGGUGAGUGGAAACAGGUGGCCGUAGCGAGGGCGCGGAUGAGGGGGAGGUGGGCACCCAGAAGGAGGGGCCGUACUCGAAGGUGCGCGCGUGGUGCAGGACUAGGUUCUUNNNNNNNNNNNNNNNNNNNNNNNNNNNNNNNNNNNNNNNNNNNNNNNNNNNNNNNNNNNNNNNNNNNNNNNNNNNNNNNNNNNNNNNNNNNNNNNNNNNNNNNNNNNNNNNNNNNNNNNNNNNNNNNNNNNNNNNNNNNNNNNNNNNNNNNNNNNNNNNNNNNNNNNNNUGACCAGGAACUAAGUUGAUGCGCCGUUGAUCCGCUAGAUUUGGUUGGAUGCUGGUGGUGAGUUGCCGAACCCACCGAAUACAUUCUGAAGUCGGAUGGGGUGACGGAUUAGGGUGCCCCUCUAGCAGGGGAGAGCAGGGACUGCCCCGGGAAAGGGGGCCGCUGGCGAAGUUAACCACCCUGUAACAACAUACAUACAAGGCGCAUCACCCUCUCCGCUAUCAACCCCGCAGAAACCAGCGGCCAACACAUCCCAUACAAACACAACGGCCCAUUAAGAAAGGCCGUAGUGCCCGAAACAUGUGCAAUAUGACCGCCCAUACACACGCUGCCAUCAUCAUCAUCAACAUCAUCAUCAUCAUAAUCAUAAUCAUCAUUAUCACCAACACCACCAGCAGCAGCAGCAGUGUCUUACCUUCUCAGUUUAGCAAGCGCGGAUGUCUUCUUAUUUUUCUUGGUUCCAGCCGCUCCGGAACCACCAACACCGGGGCCCGCCGGCGGCGGUCUCGUAGGCCUCGCACCGGCCGACUCCCCUGCCGCCGUCUUCUCCUCCUCGCGCUCCAGGGGAUGGCGCCAAGGCUCCGUCCGCCGAGUGCUGAUGCUCAUGGUGGCUCCGUAGCGGUGUAGGUGUCGUCGCGGCUGUAGCAGCGGCGGCGGAUGCAGAUACGGCAGCGGUGGCGGCGGUCCUUACGGCCGCGGCGGAGGCAACUGCAACGCUGGUUGUCGUAGUUGUCGUUGUGGUGGUUGUGGUGGUUGUGGUGGUUGUUGUGCUGGUGCUGGUAAUAACCGCUGCAGUCGGUGCUGCGGUUGCGACAGCAAAAGCCGCACCGGUCGCGUCUGCCGCAGAAGCCCUUGCCUUGUACAAGAGGUCGCGAUUACUUGUGCAGCGUGUGCGCGAACACUUAACUUUUUCCACCGAUCCCAGGUUCGCGGUUGGACACAGGCAGAACAGCAGAGCUCGCAAGGAACGGGCGCCACAGGAAAACAGAAACGGCCGUUGCCGAUGUAACAACAAAACUAUUGGCUGCAGAUCUCCUGGUUGCUGUUGCCGGUGGUAAUUAAAACAACAAUAAAAAUAAUCGGCGAUGAAAUUUUAAACGCCGGAAUUGUCGACGACGAUAGUAAAUGGACGAGUGAGUUUUUGGAUUCGACCAGUCGGCAUUAGUAACGUCCCUCGGAAUCCCUGGGAGCACGGCGAGCAGGGCCCUGGCCCGUCCCGCACAAGUCGAGUCGGUGGCCACUCAGCCGAUGGCAGACCGCCCUCUCGUCGAUUUCAAGAUCCUUAUACUUCUUAUGAUAAGGGGGAUUACCACCUUAGCAGCAGGGAAAUAGACGACUGCUGCUGUAGCCAGUUCACACGCCGUAUGGAGAUGUCCUGGACCUUGCCGCCUAUCUAUGAGCUCUACGAGCUGGCGUUGGAGUUCCAAAAGAUGCGGCGCGCGUAAACAUGCGAACUGGCAUCCGUCCGNNNNNNNNNNNNNNNNNNNNNNNNNNNNNNNNNNNNNNNNNNNNNNNNNNAGACCAUGGGUGCAGGGCCACAGCUCUGCGCCUGGGUACGGCUGCUGCUGAGCGAAACGCGAGCCAGAGCGAUGGUGAAUGGCUACAAAUCGAAGCUGGUGAACAUGGAAGCAGGGGUAUGGCAAGGGUGCCCCCUCGCACCCUUGCUCUACCUCUUCGUUGCUCAGGCCCUACAAUGCUGGCUCCGGAGCCAAGACGUGGGGAUCAAAUUACAGCCGGCCGACUCACAACCAGUCACCGCGUG
Molecule: long non-coding RNA, 6714 nt
Filed under: Volvox carteri
Lineage: Eukaryota; Viridiplantae; Chlorophyta; Chlorophyceae; Chlamydomonadales; Volvocaceae
Description: long non-coding RNA (VCAR_LNC001528)
Source: RNAcentral